Molecule: ribosomal RNA, 649 nt
Filed under: fungal endophyte
Lineage: Eukaryota; Fungi
Description: eukaryotic LSU rRNA
Rfam family: 5.8S ribosomal RNA (bases 191-344)
Source: RNAcentral
CGGAGGGAUCAUUAAAGAGUUCUAUAACUCCCAAACCCAUGUGAACAUACCUAACGUUGCCUCGGCAGGUCGCACCUACCUUGUAGCACCCUACCCUGUAGGGCCUACCCGGGAGAUGCGGGUAAGCCUGCCGGCGGCCCACCAAACUCUGUUUAAUAUUGAAUUCUGAACAUAUAACUAAAUAAGUUAAAACUUUCAACAACGGAUCUCUUGGUUCUGGCAUCGAUGAAGAACGCAGCGAAAUGCGAUAAGUAAUGUGAAUUGCAGAAUUCAGUGAAUCAUCGAAUCUUUGAACGCAUAUUGCGCCCAUUAGUAUUCUAGUGGGCAGGACCGUUCGAGCGUCAUUUCGACCCUUAAGCCUUAGUUGCUUAGUGUUGGGAGCCUACGGCAACGUAGCUCCUCAAAGUUAGUGGCGGAGUUGGUUCACACUCUAGACGUAGUAAUUUUUUAUCUCGCCUAUUAGUUGGACUGAUCCCCUGCCGUAAAACCCCCAACUUAUCAAGGUUGACCUCGAAUCGGUUCAGACAAACUCGCUAAAUUGAAGCAUCUUAGUCAGCGAAGGAAAAGAAACCAACAGGGAUUGCCCUAGUAACGGCGAGUGAAGCGGCAACAGCUCAAAUUUGAAAUCUGGCCCUCGGGUCCGAGUUGU